Long non-coding RNA from Megalobrama amblycephala (Wuchang bream), 1088 nucleotides. RefSeq lists it as uncharacterized. The transcript is spliced from 3 exons. The record is from RefSeq and is a predicted model, not a curated record. Lineage: Eukaryota; Metazoa; Chordata; Actinopteri; Cypriniformes; Xenocyprididae.
CCACGCCCACGCUGUGGUUCGAACUAGAGCACGGGACAGACAGUGCUCGUCCUGAGGAGAGAUCAGCAGACUCACAACAUGUCCUAACCAGACGCGAAACACACGAUAAAAGCUUGGAGACUGAAGAUGUUGUUUUGUGGAGACGCAUUUAUAGAAGAACAGGAAGAUGAAGGAAGGGUUAUGGGUCAUGUGCUGAUCAGAUUUUCACACUUCUGGUGAGUAUUGAGCAAGAAGAAGAACAGGUGAUUGUGAUCUCUUGAUUGGCUGGAACUAUAAUGAUAUUCAUAGAUGUUUUUGUCUUGACUAGACAGAAGUAAACUGACAUUAAUUAAAUGAUUUUAUGAUGAUGAAUAAAGUUUCCAUGGUUCACAGUAAAUCUCACCAUUCUUAACAGGAUUGAGCUCCACAUUUUUGGUAUGUAAUGGAACCAGCACACCCUCCGACUGAGAGAGAGAAAGAGAGAGAGAGUAAGUUAACUAACUGUAAUGCUCUAGUUUCAAAAUAUGACAAUCACCUAUUGAUUAUUAUUUGUAAAAAAUGACCAAAUGAAAUGAAACAGAAUUCCCAUCAGACGUACCACCACCUUCAGGCUCUUUCUCACUCCAUCAGUGUGAACAGAAUCAAAUGCUGCAGCUUUCACCUCAAUCAUGUGAUUUCCCAGUGUCAUGGGAAUAAUCACAUAUGAAACUGCUAUGCUGGAGCCUUUGUCAACGUUUACUGUUGUUCUGUAUUUGCCUUUCUUACUGGCAAAGCUGCAAACAUCUGGUGCCUCCAUAAACUCCACUCGCACCUGGAGAAAACAGAAGACCGAGACACUAAUCACUUCAAUAUCUAGAGGAAACUUCCUCCAAAGUAAAUCAAAUAUGAAAAGUGUAAUGAAGGACAUUUCUGUUUUAGCAAUGAUUAGUAUCCUACACUUUUGUCGGUCACAAGCAGCUUAAAAAAAUGAAAUGACUCUCAGAACCCAUGUAUGCUGUCAUUAGUAAAUUAUGUGAACUCAAGCCGAAAUGGUUAUUAUGAUGCACAAUGUUUUAAUAUAUACCAUAAAUCUUACUAUAUUUUAAAUAUUAAAUUAGAUCUACCUUCUG